This 72-nucleotide small RNA is filed under the name Chryseobacterium scophthalmum. RNAcentral's name for it is "Flavo-1 RNA". It matches the Rfam family "Flavo-1 RNA". The record is from RNAcentral. Lineage: Bacteria; Pseudomonadati; Bacteroidota; Flavobacteriia; Flavobacteriales; Weeksellaceae.
UUUUUGCGUAAGGGAUAGAAGUGGAAAUCCUUUUUUGACUAAAAAAGAUUGCAACGAAUAGCCCGACCCGAG